UACGUAGGUGGCAAGCGUUACUCGGAAUCACUAGGCGUAAAGCGCGGGUAGGCGGUUGGGUAAGUCUCUUGUGAAAGCUCCUGGCUCAACUGGGAGAGGUCAAGGGAAACUACCUGGCUAGAGUGUGGUAGAGGAAGCUGGAAUUCCUGGUGUAGCGGUGAAAUGCGUAGAUAUCAGGAGGAACACCUAUGGCGAAAGCAGGCUUCUGGACCGUCACUGACGCUGAUCCGCGAAAGCUAGGGGAGCAAACAGG
This 253-nucleotide ribosomal RNA is filed under the name uncultured bacterium. RNAcentral describes it as "partial 16S ribosomal RNA". It matches the Rfam family "Bacterial small subunit ribosomal RNA", at positions 524 to 776 of the family's 1533-position model. The record is from RNAcentral.